Molecule: long non-coding RNA, 1615 nt
Organism: Podarcis raffonei (Aeolian wall lizard)
Lineage: Eukaryota; Metazoa; Chordata; Lepidosauria; Squamata; Lacertidae
Exons: 3
Source: RefSeq, a predicted model, not a curated record
GGCGACACAGCGACUGGGUUCUGCUCUUGAGCAGUAAACCCAAGUCCUUCUCUGCAGGCGGAAGUGGACGCCAGCCGCCUACUCUUCUUAGCAUCUUGUGAAAACUUUUCACAAGAUGGCAGUCAAUUGGUGCAGCUUCCAGGCAGGCUUAAGCAUCAGCAUAACUCAUCUUAGAAAUUGGCUACUAGGCUGCUGACACCAAGGCAAGAGCUGAGACCUUGGGGGCUACACACCUCCUUACAUCACAUACAUGAACCAAAUUAUGAAGAUGGGCAGCACCCGCAGAAAUGAAUUGAGCAUGCUGACGGAUAAACGAAGCUGACAAGGUGACAGUAACCCUGGCUCUCCAAUGUGACAAUUCCCAACAGGUAGGCACUAAACACAGAUGAGGGUUUCGAACUUCAGCUGCUGAGUCCAGCAUCAAAUAGAAACCGCAGCAAGAUGUCCAAAAAGCAAGAGGUAAGUUCUCCAGGGUAAGAUGCUAAAUCAGAGCAACAAGUUAUGAGGGCAAAACUAAUAUUACACAAACGUUAACCAACUAAUAAUAAUAAUAAUAAUAGAAACAGGAGGCCAUUUUCAUUAACACUAUGGCAUUGUGGGGAAGAGAGCAUGUUUAGUUUGGUCUUAAGAAGGCUGACGUAAGUGCCCACAUUAGUUAUCUUUUUUUCUGUGAGUGGAGUAUCCCCUGUAAGUUUAUGAGUAUCUUACCUCUCCCUAUACAUUGUGGUAUAGAUUGAAUGUUGUUUAUUUCCUCAGUCCUAGCUGGACAGGCCAUCUUUUUUUCCUCCUUUAAGGAAGUGGGGGUUUGGGGGGAGAAAAUUGGAAAGUGCAGGCAUAGAGAUAUCUUUGACUUCCAUGGGCAUCUGAGAAGGUGCAGGCAGUGUGUGGAUUGCGGUGGCGGGGGGGAGCAAGGGAAGGAUCUAUCUCCUUGGAGAACUGGAGUUAAAGGGCAGGUGGAAAGGAUUUUGUUUGUUAAUUGCAGUGUUUUUUUUCUUAAAAAAUGUUUAGGGAUACUCUCAUUUUGACCCCAAAAAAUCACCAUUUUGUACUUGAGAUCGGGAAAAAUAAAUACAGUAAAUGGACAAAAGUACAAAGAUUCACAAGACAUUUAGCUGUGCGUACCCCUGCGUCCCUCCCAGAAAAAAAGCACUGGUUAAUUGUAAUAUAAAAUGGUAGGGCAGCUCGGUCAGUAGAGAGCAUGAGGCUCUUAGAACUACAGAGUUGUAAGGGGUCCCCGAGGGCCAUCUAGUCCAACCCCCUGCAAAGCAGGAAUCUUAUGCCCAACAUAUUUCCAAAUUUAUGCUGUUGUAUACAGAAUUGUCCUCUGAGAAUUAACCCCCUCUGAGAAACACAGUCAUUCUAUAGCAAGGGAAAUCUGCACAUGAAAAUGACUGACUUGGAUGUAGACAAGGAAGUAGUCUGACCUCCCUGCAAUGCGGAAAUCCAAACCAAAGCAUCCAUGAGAAAUGGCCACCCAAUCUCCGUUUGAAAGCCUCCAAUGGAGAAGAACCUUAAUCUCGGGGUCCUGGGUUCAAGCUCAAUGUUGGGCAAAAAGAUCCCUGCAUUGCAGGGGUUUUGACUAUGUCCAUUCCAGCUCUACAAUUCCAUGAUUUGU